This 173-nucleotide non-coding RNA is filed under the name Paenibacillus antarcticus. RNAcentral describes it as "FMN sequence". It matches the Rfam family "FMN riboswitch aptamer (RFN element)". Rfam says of the family: The RFN element is a highly conserved domain that is found frequently in the 5'-untranslated regions of prokaryotic mRNAs that encode for flavin mononucleotide (FMN) biosynthesis and transport proteins. This element is a metabolite-dependent riboswitch that directly binds FMN in the absence of proteins. Lineage: Bacteria; Bacillati; Bacillota; Bacilli; Caryophanales; Paenibacillaceae. The record is from Rfam by way of RNAcentral.
UAUCUACUUCGGGGUUGGGUGAAAUUCCCUACCGGCGGUGAUGUCUAAUCGUUUAUAGCAUACUUAUGCACACGAUGAGGCUUAGUCCGUGACCCGGACGCUUAUGUAUAGCGUACGGUGGACCUGGUGCAAUUCCGGGACCGACAGUAAAGUCUGGAUGGGAGAAGGAGAGC